Long non-coding RNA from Oreochromis niloticus (Nile tilapia), 566 nucleotides. RefSeq lists it as uncharacterized. The transcript is spliced from 4 exons. The record is from RefSeq and is a predicted model, not a curated record. Lineage: Eukaryota; Metazoa; Chordata; Actinopteri; Cichliformes; Cichlidae.
GCGUGGGAAGACUCCAGAAUCCACUCUGGCUGGAAUCCGGUGGAUACAGCAGUGUUACAGGUGUGGGGAUAAUAUGUAAGACUGCAGUGAAGCGAUGUACCAGAUGAAUCCCUGGCCAAAGAACAGUUCUCCACAGUCACUGUCCACAUGGGUCAGUGGGACCAAGAAGCACUCUGCUAAUGUGUGGACUCUGACCAGCAACAUCCAGCAAGACCCAAGCAGCGUUUUCUAUCGCUCAGCUGGAGUUUUUUGUUUGUCUGUGACUGGAGAGUCAGAUUUUUGUUGAAGCUGGAGGAACAGAGAGGUUAAUACACGCUACUGAUCCCUGAUGGGAGAAUCAUCACCUCUGCCAACAAAGAAGCCUGGUGGAUGUUUGUUUGCAGUCUGAUGAUGGGACAUCAUGCUCUGCAUCUUCAAAGUUUGUCUCUUGAUUAUUAUUCAUACACAGUAAUGUGAAGCAUGCUUAUAUCUAGUAUAACUGGACCAACCUGGUGCUCUUCAUUUAUGGAGGCUGUUGAGUCUGAAUGUUGGAUGUUGUGUAUCUCUUGUUCUCUGGGCUUUGUUGU